GAUUAGAACAGCAAUUAGGGAUAAGGAUAUGAACAUAUUGACAGAUGAAGUAUAAAUUUUUUCAUCCACUGCAACAAAGGAGGUAAUGUUUUAUAGUGAUGCUACCAGUGGUGAAUCCGUACAGGUCUGCAGCAACCUCAAUUCUUGCCUCCUCAGAAGAAAGAAUUCAACUGAGGGAAAGGCAGAAGAAGAGACAGAGGUAAGUUUUAAAGCAGGAAUGAAAUUUAUUAGAAAGUUUUAGAGCAAAAAAGAAAGGAAGGAAAGUACACUUGGAAGAGGUCCAAGCAGGCGAUUUGAAGGACGAGUGUGGGAUUGAACUUUUGACUUGGG
This 330-nucleotide long non-coding RNA is filed under the name Homo sapiens (human). Its description in RNAcentral is "HSALNT0070767". Lineage: Eukaryota; Metazoa; Chordata; Mammalia; Primates; Hominidae. The record is from RNAcentral.